GACGAACCGUCCAAACGUUGUUCGGAAUCACUGGGCUUAAAGGGCGCGUAGGCGGGCUGCCAAGUCCGGGGUGAAAUCCUCCAGCUUAACUGGAGAACUGCCUCGGAUACUGGAAGUCUCGAGGAGGGUAGGGGCACGCGGAACUGUGGGUGGAGCGGUGAAAUGCGUUGAUAUCCAUAGGAACUCCGGUGGCGAAGGCGGCGUGCUGGACCCUUUCUGACGCUGAGGCGCGAAAGCCAGGGGAGCAAACGGG
This 253-nucleotide ribosomal RNA is filed under the name uncultured bacterium. RNAcentral describes it as "partial 16S ribosomal RNA". It matches the Rfam family "Bacterial small subunit ribosomal RNA", at positions 524 to 776 of the family's 1533-position model. The record is from RNAcentral.